CUGGAUUUGGGUCAGUCUCCUGAA
This 24-nucleotide non-coding RNA is filed under the name Cricetulus griseus (Chinese hamster). Lineage: Eukaryota; Metazoa; Chordata; Mammalia; Rodentia; Cricetidae. The record is from RNAcentral.